AUCAAGAUGGAGAGGGGAGAGUCUAGUUGGGAGGCUUGCCGCAGAGCCAAUAUUGCGUAGACCGUAGUGAACCACCACCUCACUGACCCUAACUCCCUAGCAACAUGAGAGAAUAUCAGAGCACGCCCAAUCAUUGGAAGGUGAAGAAAUAGGGCACAAUAUGUGAUUCUUAUGGCCCAAAGUGGCCUAAAUAUGCCUCACUGCUGCUGGAAGGUUGGCUCGCCGAGAAGAGAGUCAUGCAUCAUGGGAGGAAAUAUAUGUAUUAGUGCGCUUGCAAAAUAAAAAGGUGGUUUUCCGCUGUGAUGCAUGACUCUCUUCUCGAUGAGCCAGCCUUCAAGCAGCAACGAGGCAUAUUCAGGUAACUCUGGGCCAUAAAAAUCACAUACUGUCCCCCACUUCUUCACCUUCCCUUGCGUGGGGAGUGUCUUCUCCCAUGUUGCUAGGGAUUUCGGGUUAGUUAGGUGAUGGUUUACUAUGGUCUGUGCAUAUUGGCUCUGUCGCUAGCCUCCCAACUGGACUCUCCCCACUCCAUGUAGAUGAUCAGCUGAAGGAGUGAAGGACGAGAAGCAGGUAUAUAUGCAGAGGGUUGGUGAGAUUGGGUGCUCUUUUCUGAAGUGUGUAUUAAUUUUUACAUAUGUCUAUGUGACACUGCGAUCAAUGUCGUACCCAGCCGUGGAAAAGUGGGCAUUUUGUACGCAUGCAUUUCCUCUACUUUACUCUAUAGUGGAAGGGAGUAUCAACAAAGGGGUGUGUGUGUAUUUGUAAACAUGAAUUAUUGUUUAACAAAGGGUUCGAGAACGUACAUAUUGGGUUAUGAUUCCAGUGAA
Rosa chinensis is the source of this 827-nucleotide long non-coding RNA. RefSeq lists it as uncharacterized. The transcript has 2 exons. Lineage: Eukaryota; Viridiplantae; Streptophyta; Magnoliopsida; Rosales; Rosaceae. The record is from RefSeq and is a predicted model, not a curated record.